RNAcentral lists this ribosomal RNA (415 nucleotides) under uncultured bacterium. RNAcentral describes it as "bacterial SSU rRNA". It matches the Rfam family "Bacterial small subunit ribosomal RNA", at positions 48 to 512 of the family's 1533-position model. The record is from RNAcentral.
GCUACCAUGCAGUCGAGCGAAGCCUUCGGGCUUAGCGGCGGACGGGUUAGUAACGCGUGGGAACGUGCCCUUCUCUACGGAAUAGUCCCGGGAAACUGGGUUUAAUACCGUAUACGCCCUUCGGGGGAAAGAAUUUCGGAGAAGGAUCGGCCCGCGUUAGAUUAGGUAGUUGGUGGGGUAACGGCCUACCAAGCCUACGAUCUAUAGCUGGUUUGAGAGGAUGAUCAGCCACACUGGGACUGAGACACGGCCCAGACUCCUACGGGAGGCAGCAGUGGGGAAUCUUAGACAAUGGGGGCAACCCUGAUCUAGCCAUGCCGCGUGAGUGAUGAAGGCCUUAGGGUUGUAAAGCUCUUUCGCCGGGGAAGAUAAUGACUGUACCCGGUAAAGAAGUCCCGGCUAACUCCGUGCCAGC